UAGGUUAAAUUCAAAGACCAAAUAAACAUGUAGAGUUUUAAGUGGAUGCUUUCCGGACGGCGGUUCGAUUCCGCCCAUCUCCACCA
This 86-nucleotide transfer-messenger RNA is filed under the name Sphingobacteriales bacterium. RNAcentral describes it as "partial transfer-messenger RNA". It matches the Rfam family "transfer-messenger RNA", at positions 286 to 374 of the family's 374-position model. Rfam says of the family: Bacterial tmRNA, also known as 10Sa RNA or SsrA, is named for its dual tRNA and mRNA-like properties. Its role is to liberate the mRNA from a stalled ribosome. Lineage: Bacteria; Pseudomonadati; Bacteroidota; Sphingobacteriia; Sphingobacteriales. The record is from RNAcentral.